CCUGCCAUGCUGAUGAAGGUUAGGGAUGGCUAGCCCAUGAAAUUGUGCACCGGCCAGGAACGUGUAACGGUGGCGAGAAAUGAACCUGAGACCAUGUGACCCCGGCAGGACCACUGCUUCCCAAGCUCAUUCAGGGAACGUGGGUCUCUGCUCUGUGUCGCGGAGUGUUACUCUGCGGCAGCUACCUCUUCAGCAGUCGAGUCGCCCCGCCUCUCGGCAAUCAACCGCGGCCGGGGCGUGCGCAGGACAAUUUCCUAACGCGCUGCAACCAAUCACCAAGCAGCAUCUCUCCGUAGCCCCGCCUCCCAGGGAGAACCGGGAGAGAAUAGUUUGCUGAACCAGUGACGUCUGGUAAAACCGCGAGACGCUGCCGUGGCCAAUGAAUGUAACCGUAGAGAGGAGAACGGAAAUCACCUGGGCGCCAUGUUAGUUAGGGGCAGAGUCACUUCCCGUUACUUCUGCUGCAACCCUCUGGUGGCGGAGAGUGGGUUGGGAUUUAAUAGAGCGCUUCGGUACCAACAUACCAUACUGUUCGCUACCUCCGGUUUUGGGACUGAGCUCAUUUAUUAAAGAACUCUCUCUCUCUCUCUUUUUU
Pipistrellus kuhlii (Kuhl's pipistrelle) is the source of this 595-nucleotide long non-coding RNA. RefSeq lists it as uncharacterized. Lineage: Eukaryota; Metazoa; Chordata; Mammalia; Chiroptera; Vespertilionidae. The transcript has 2 exons. The record is from RefSeq and is a predicted model, not a curated record.